RNAcentral lists this ribosomal RNA (183 nucleotides) under uncultured bacterium. RNAcentral describes it as "partial 16S ribosomal RNA". It matches the Rfam family "Bacterial small subunit ribosomal RNA", at positions 1319 to 1500 of the family's 1533-position model. The record is from RNAcentral.
CAUGAAGCCGGAAUUGCUAGUAAUGGCAGGUCAGCAUACUGCCGUGAAUACGUUCCCGGGCCUUGUACACACCGCCCGUCACACCAUGAGAGUUGGAAAUACCCGAAGCCUGUGAGCUAACCUUAUAGGAGGCAGCAGUCGAAGGUAGAGUCAAUGAUUGGGGUGAAGUCGUAACAAGGUAAC